GGUCCAUGUCAGAACAAUUGCACAGUGCACCAUGAUGCUUGCCACUGUAUCCACAAGGAAAUGGGACAAGUACCCACGGACAAGAGAUGGUGAGGACACCUGAGAAGACCCUAUGUGACCUGUCCCCUCCCACCCCCAUCAAACAGCCUGCUCCUGCUCCAGUUUCACAGUUCGAAUCCAAAUUUAACAGUUCAGAGAAGAGUUGAGUUUCUGCAGCUGCUGGAGCACACUGGAAUAUCACAUUAAAACAGCUUCCCAGGAGUGAGCAG
Molecule: long non-coding RNA, 269 nt
Organism: Panthera uncia (snow leopard)
Lineage: Eukaryota; Metazoa; Chordata; Mammalia; Carnivora; Felidae
Exons: 3
Source: RefSeq, a predicted model, not a curated record